UACGUAGGGUGCAGGCGUUAAUCGGAAUUACUGGGCGUAAAGGGCGCGUAGGUGGUUAGUUAAGUAAGUUGUGAAAUCCCCGGGCUUAACCUGGGAAUGGCAAUUUAAACUGGCUGGCUGGAGUACAUGAGAGGGAAGCGGAAUUUCCGGUGUAGCGGUGAAAUGCGUAGAUAUCGGAAGGAACACCAGUGGCGAAAGCGGCUUCCUGGUCCAGCAUCGACGUUCAGGCACGAAAGCGUGGGGAGCAAACAGG
RNAcentral lists this ribosomal RNA (253 nucleotides) under uncultured bacterium. RNAcentral describes it as "partial 16S ribosomal RNA". It matches the Rfam family "Bacterial small subunit ribosomal RNA", at positions 524 to 776 of the family's 1533-position model. The record is from RNAcentral.